AGUGAACGCUGGCGGUAGGCCUAACACAUGCAAGUCGAACGGCAGCACAGUAAGAGCUUGCUCUUACGGGUGGCGAGUGGCGGACGGGUGAGGAAUACAUCGGAAUCUACUUUUUCGUGGGGGAUAACGUAGGGAAACUUACGCUAAUACCGCAUACGACCUACGGGUGAAAGCAGGGGAUCUUCGGACCUUGCGCGAUUGAAUGAGCCGAUGUCGGAUUAGCUAGUUGGCGGGGUAAAGGCCCACCAAGGCGACGAUCCGUAGCUGGUCUGAGAGGAUGAAUCGCCCAAAUGGAACUGAGAACAGGUCCCAGACCCCUACGGAGGGCGCCGUGGGGAAUUUUUGAACAUGGGCGGCAGCCCUAUCCAGGCCAAACGGGUGGGUGAAAAAGGGCUUUCGGUUUUAAAGGCCUUUUUUUGGGAAAGAAAAGGCGCCGGUUAAAACCCCCGUGUUUCGACGGUACCCCAAGAAUAAGCCACCGACAACCUCGUG
This 492-nucleotide ribosomal RNA is filed under the name uncultured bacterium. RNAcentral's name for it is "partial 16S ribosomal RNA". It matches the Rfam family "Bacterial small subunit ribosomal RNA", at positions 29 to 507 of the family's 1533-position model. The record is from RNAcentral.